CUCGAAUAAAGAGUUCAUGAUGUAUUUAAUAUUUCAAUCCUAUGAAUUGGAUACUGUCUUAAAAGUGCUCUAAGCUGCAAUCAACGUAAGCGAGGUUAUUGGACAGAGGGCUCGAUGGCGCGUUUUUUGAAUGCGCGAUUUCUCGAGGGCUUUGAGGAUACUGCAUUGUGCGGCCUCUGUAGAUGAGGGGCACGAGAACGGCACGAGCCAGAGGGAACAAAAGGACAGAUGGCCCCCAGGUCUUUACAAUGAAUUAUGGAUAAGUUGGAGGAAAUUGGGACCAUCAAAUAUUUCCUGACGGAUAUCAAUGCUGAUGCUGAGAGAUUUGGAGGCGUGAACCAAUCGCCCCCGCCCCGAAAGAGAUUGCUGUUCUGUCAUUUGUGCACCAGUCCAUUGCACUAAAGGGCGGUCAAUACGAUCCGCGGUUCCAGGCAUCCACCCCAAAGACAUGUUCCUACUGUCACAGCUACUCAAAACCAUGAACAUCAAGGACGAUUUCUGCAUCUCACGGAUGACUUCAUUGCUGUGGUGUGUUGGAGAUAUGUAUGCUAUGGAAGUCCGGACGUUUUCAACCGGACGAACAAAUAAAGUGAUCCCUUUCUGUUUGUGUCGUUUUCAAUACUAUUAUUUGCACAGCUAUUCCUGCUACACGAAUGGAUGCUGGUAUAAUAAAGAUUUUGUUUUGGUCUGGUCUGGUUAUUUGUUUAUAUGGUUAUACAUGUGUUCUAAAAUAAGUAAUAGAAAUCGUGAUGUUUGGAAUGCAUAUAAAUCCUCUUUGUCAGUCAUACGAGGGAAUAAUUUGUGAUAAACAGAAGAUGUAAAAAUUCCACAUGGAG
Molecule: long non-coding RNA, 836 nt
Organism: Esox lucius (northern pike)
Lineage: Eukaryota; Metazoa; Chordata; Actinopteri; Esociformes; Esocidae
Source: Ensembl